RNAcentral lists this ribosomal RNA (492 nucleotides) under uncultured bacterium. RNAcentral's name for it is "partial 16S ribosomal RNA". It matches the Rfam family "Bacterial small subunit ribosomal RNA", at positions 29 to 507 of the family's 1533-position model. The record is from RNAcentral.
AGUGAACGCUGGCGGUAGGGCUAACACAUGCAAGUCGAACGGCAGCACAGUAAGAGCUUGCUCUUACGGGUGGCGAGUGGCGGACGGGUGAGGAAUACAUCGGAAUCUACUUUUUCGUGGGGGAUAACGUAGGGAAACUUACGCUAAUACCGCAUACGACCUACGGGUGAAAGCAGGGGAUCUUCGGACCUUGCGCGAUUGAAUGAGCCGAUGUCGGAUUAGCUAGUUGGCGGGGUAAAGGCCCACCAAGGCGACGAUCCGUAGCUGGUCUGAGAGGAUGAUCAGCCACACUGGAACUGAGACACGGUCAAGACGACUACGGGAGGCAGCAGUGGGGAAUAUUGGACAAUGGGCGCAAGCCUGAUCCAGCCAUACCGCGUGGGUGAAGAAGGCCUUCGGGUUGUAAAGCCCUUUUGUUGGGAAAGAAAAGCAGCAGGUUAAUACCCCGCUGUUCUGACGGUACCCAAAGAAUAAGCACCGGCUAACUUCGUG